This is a long non-coding RNA of Bubalus bubalis (water buffalo), 3018 nucleotides long. RefSeq lists it as uncharacterized. Lineage: Eukaryota; Metazoa; Chordata; Mammalia; Artiodactyla; Bovidae. The transcript has 3 exons. The record is from RefSeq and is a predicted model, not a curated record.
UCCAUAGACUGGGAAGAGAGGGAGGAGCUGACGUAAUCCGCUUGUAAACAAAUAAACCCCGGAGUGGCAGCAGGAGAAGGGGGAGCAAGUGGCGGGGGAAGGAGGAAACUAGGGGUGCGCGUGUGAAAGCCCCGCCCCCCCAGCCCUAGCUCCUCCUUCCCGCUCCAGCAACUCCAGGCACCGCGCCAGCGCAUCCUCUGCAAGAGUACUCUGCCCGGGCUAGCCUGCGAGGAGGCUUAAUGCUGUGCAGAUAAAAGCAGCCCGGCUUAGGCUGUGUACACCCGCGCCAGCGGCACGGAUACGUCUGCAUGGCAGUGGCCCGCUGACUGUACUCGGUGUUUACAUCCUGUCCCCGACGCCUAGUCUACGUGGCUGGCUCCACGGGCAGGAUGAGCAGCGGGGUGCGGGUACCAGUGCUGAGGAUACAGGGAGUGUGGAGAAAAGUGGAGCGAACCGGCUCUCGAGGGUUAGUAAGCCUUUUAUGGUUGCUGUUCAGUGACAUCAAGAGUCAAAAGGAGAGAAGAAUGGAGUCCUUACUGAACCCAUCUUAAAACUGAUAAGAAAGCCUGUUACUGAAGAUAAGUAUGGUAACCGUAACGUUUAAUCUAUAAACAGAAAAAAAUCUAUAUAAUGCAUUUUACACCGUUUACGCACAAAACCGAAGGUUGUUUCUUUUUCUAAACUAAUAUCUGCUUAUCGUCCAAGAAGACUUCCCUGACUCUCUGGACUUGUCUGCCACCAUCUACUCUGUCUCCUGGGGCAAUUCCCCACUGUUCAAGCUUAUUGGAUGUUUAUCUGCAUCUUCCCAGCACCAACAGUCUACUUCAGUUUUACAGUUUAACAACAGUGUGGGGAAACAGAUGAUAAGAAUCAACUUUGGAAGAUUGAAAGCCUUAAGGAAUCAUACAAAGUUCUUAUAAGUUAUGGCCCUGGCCUAACUAUAGUAGUUAUAACUUUCUGAAUAUGGAAGACACAGACCUCCCUUUCCUGCCAAACCCAUAGGGCAGCCAGGUUUCAAAGUGUGAACCCAGGCUAGCCAUCUCAACAUCACCCCAGGAAGCUGAUAGAAAUGCAAACUUUGGGCUCUAGACCUACUAAUAGAGAAACUCGAGGGGUGGGGUUCAACAGUUUAGCGCUAAUGUUCCAGGACAACUGCUUUAAAAAGUAAUGGCAACAUUUCUACAAUUUAAAUUCAGCAAAUAGGACUUACUUCCCAGGUGGCACAGUGAAUAAAGGAAUCCAUCUGCCAAUGCAAGGGACAUGGAUUUGAUCCCUGGUCCGGGAAGUUUCCGCAUGCCUUGGAGCAACUGAGCCCCUGUGCAAUCACAGCUGCUGAAGCCCGUAUGCCUAGAAUCUGUGCCCCACAAGAAAAGAAGCUAUAGCAUUGAGAAGCCUGCAUACUGGGACAAAAAGUAGCCUCCGAUAACUGCAACUAGAGAAAUCCCACAUGCAACAGUGGAGACCCAGGUCAGCCCAAAACUAAGUAAAUAAAUAAAAUCUCUCUUCUCACUAAAGAUAAGUAAAUAAAACCAGCAAACAAACUUCAUAGCCAGGCAUAUACUAUGUCAAAUAGAAAUCUUGUCCCUUAAAAGAAAAAAAGUAGCAUACUAAUUUAAUAUGUAAAAGCUGCCUUUUAAGUGUCAAAUAUGUUCUAAGUGAGUGGUUAUUUGCUUUUCUGAGGUUCUGCAGUCUGGGUAAAAUGCAUUUUUUUCAGCUUCUGAAACAAUAGGCAAGUGAGAGUGUACAGUGAUGUCCUUAUAUUAUUCUCAAAAGAGAAGCUAAUACUCAGGAAGGUUGAUAAGAUAAUCAUCUCAUCAAAUGUUGGUAUAGUCCAUGCCUUUAUUUUCACUUUUAGGAAAAGCAGCAACUUGUCCUUUUUAAGGAACUUAAAUUUAAAAUAAGUAGGGACUUCCCUGGAGGUCCGGUGGUUAAGACUCCAGGCUUCCACUGCAGGGAGUAUGGGUUUGACCCCUGGCCUGGCCCACAUGCAGACCCUACAUGCCACUCUGUGUGGCCAAAAUAAAUAAAUAGAUAAAAUCUCAAAGUAAAUUAAGGUUUACAUGCAUUAAGUAAUGUCGCCUCAUCCCUUUCUAAAUGUCCAGCUAAAACAAAGGAGCAUCCAAGUUGCAAAAGUAAGUGUGAUAAAUAAAUAUGAAGCCCUACAUAUAGAUAUCCAACGUGAUUGUGAAAACCAUCAUCACGCAUUUGGAUAUACUUUAGCAGGAAUUCAAGGGUUGAAAUCCCAUUGGAAAAUGCAAUUUAGGAUGUAUUCAUCUAUAAGGCAUAGCAAGUUAGAUACAAAUUUCUGAAAAAGACUAUGUUCUAGCUAUAGAGAAGUCCUCUAAAGAAAAAAAAGGAAUGGGGAGGCUAUGAUUAGCAUGUCAAAUUGCAUUAUAUUUUCUAAAGGGAAUAAAGUAAGAAACUUCCUAUUAUCUUAUGUUCUCAUCCACUUGGCUAGUAAAUUCUUAUAAAUGAAGCAAAACCAAUCUUCAGCCUAGAUAAUAUUUAUAAUACAGUUUGAUUUAGUCACAUGCGAAAGCAAAGGGUCCAUUAUUAGCAUUACUGCAUGUGCUGAAAACAUUCUAUAUUUGCAUGUGUUUUAAUAGAGGUCUCUUUAAGUCUUUCCAUCAUUUUCAACAAAAUAUAGGAAACAUUCUCAUCUUCUGAAAACUGAUUUGAAGUUUGUGGUGACCACCGUCAAACUCAAGAAAUGGUCCGUCUCCCUGUUGUUUAUAAUGUCUGACCUUACUCUUUAUUGCAUAAGUAGAUUUCAAACAUUGAAACCGUAGUAAGAGAUACAACACUCAGGAAUGGAUCUCCCUGUAGAAACAAACCUCUCUGUACAGUCUUUAGAUGGUGGGAGCUGUGAGAGUUAAAAUGAGCACUUUUAUCUUUAUCCUUGAAAAUUCUAUCCUUAGUCCCCUUGAAUGGAUGAUCUCACCUUUCGGAAAAAGAGCUUUAUUGAGAUAUAUUUUACAUAAAAUAAAAUUCAUCCGUUUCAAGUGUACCUUUCAAUAA